RNAcentral lists this long non-coding RNA (810 nucleotides) under Homo sapiens (human). RNAcentral's name for it is "HSALNT0304749". The record is from RNAcentral. Lineage: Eukaryota; Metazoa; Chordata; Mammalia; Primates; Hominidae.
AAAACUGAGGAAGAAAACUGACAAGGUUUUCAAGGGAAUUUCCAGGCUGAGAAUCUACGAUGGCCAGUGAGCUGGUAUGAUUCAUACGAAGUUCCAUGUCUCACUUAUCUCUCCAAAUCAUGGUUCUUCACGAGGGAGCCCUUCUUCAGGCUGUUCUUCCGCUCCACGUAGUUGGACGGCCUCAACUUUUGCACUUCCGUGUCCAUCUCUGCAUUGCCCAAUUUUUGCAAGACUCUCCUGCUAAGGUGCUCUAGCUGGAAUCCUCCACUCUCAACAUCUGAUCAGGUUCCUCAUCCUCUACCAUCCCCCAGGUGACAGCUGAUCACCCUGUCCUGCCUUCAGAAGAAUCCUGUUCGCGUGUUGGAGGCAGGCCGUGUGCACUGCUAUUCUCGGGAGCAAAGAAGCAUCUUCUCUGUGGCUGCUCCCACUGAGCAUGGCUGACUCUUACAGGGCAGCAGCUUCUGAUUAACCAUUUUUAAGUGUACAGUUCAGUGGCCUCAAGUACAUUCACCCUGUUGUGCAAACAUCAACAUCAUCUAUCUGCAGAACUAUUUUCAUCUUGAAAAACUGGAAUAGGGAUUGCCCUAAUGUCUUCCACGGAGGCUGCAUCUACAAUUCCACCAACAGUACACAAGGGUACCAAGUUCUCUACAUCCUUGUCAACGCCUGUUAUUGUCUACUUUUUGACAGCAGUCAUCCUAUUGGGUGUAACGUAUACAUCAAUUUCUUAACUGAACAGUAUUUGUACUGCAUCCUCAAUAGAAUUUAUUAGCACAUAGCAAUUCUCAAUAAAAAGAAAAAUUUUAUACU